RNAcentral lists this ribosomal RNA (318 nucleotides) under Triticum aestivum (bread wheat). Its description in RNAcentral is "partial small subunit ribosomal RNA". Lineage: Eukaryota; Viridiplantae; Streptophyta; Magnoliopsida; Poales; Poaceae. The record is from RNAcentral.
AUGAGGGCGACGGCCCGCCCCGAGUCCGGCCGUCCAGACGCAACUCCGGUCACCGCCAUCAAGAGAGAUGCAGAGAGAAGAAAGAGAUGGCACGGGAGGGAGAGAUUAGUUCAGGUCCUCACCUUGAGAGAAGAUGAUCGGCAUGAUGACGACCUUCUCGCCGGUGCACACGCUCCUCGGUACGUUGUCUGCUGGAUCCUCCCGGUUGCCCGCCCGGCAAGGCAGCCGAGCUCUUCUCCUGAAGCCUGGAUGUAUUGUGGUUUUAAUGGAUGGAUGGCGUCUGGACCAAGGCCGGCCUCUCCUUCCAUGCGUGCGUGA